GACAGAGGGUGCAAGCGUUGUCCGGAAUUAUUGGGCGUAAAGAGCUCGUAGGCGGUUUGUCGCGUCUGCUGUGAAAACUCGGGGCUUAACCCCGGGCCUGCAGUGGGUACGGGCAGACUAGAGUGCGGUAGGGGAGACUGGAAUUCCUGGUGUAGCGGUGAAAUGCGCAGAUAUCAGGAGGAACACCGGUGGCGAAGGCGGGUCUCUGGGCCGUAACUGACGCUGAGGAGCGAAAGCGUGGGGAGCGAACAGG
This 253-nucleotide ribosomal RNA is filed under the name uncultured bacterium. RNAcentral's name for it is "partial 16S ribosomal RNA". It matches the Rfam family "Bacterial small subunit ribosomal RNA", at positions 524 to 776 of the family's 1533-position model. The record is from RNAcentral.